AUUGAACGCUGGCGGCAGGCCUAACACAUGCAAGUCGAGCGGAUGAAGGGAGCUUGCUCCUGGAUUCAGCGGCGGACGGGUGAGUAAUGCCUAGGAAUCUGCCUGGUAGUGGGGGAUAACGUCCGGAAACGGGCGCUAAUACCGCAUACGUCCUGAGGGAGAAAGUGGGGGGUCUUCGGACCUCACGCUAUCAGAUGAGCCUAGGUCGGAUUAGCUAGUUGGUGGGGUAAAGGCCUACCAAGGCGACGAUCCGUAAUUGGUCUGAGAGGAUGAUCAGUCACACUGGAACUGAGACACGGUCCAGACUCCUACGGGAGGCAGCAGUGGGGAAUAUUGGACGAUGGGCGAAAGCCUGAUCCAGCCAUGCCGCGUGUGUGAAGAAGGUCUUCGGAUUGUAAAGCACUUUAAGUUGGGAGGAAGGGCAGUAAGUUAAUACCUUGCUGUUUUGACGUUACCAACAGAAUAAGCACCGGCUAACUUCGUG
RNAcentral lists this ribosomal RNA (484 nucleotides) under uncultured bacterium. Its description in RNAcentral is "partial 16S ribosomal RNA". It matches the Rfam family "Bacterial small subunit ribosomal RNA", at positions 30 to 507 of the family's 1533-position model. The record is from RNAcentral.